GAUUGCGUACAAAACGAAACAAACAAAUCACAAACGCAAAUCCAAAACGAAAGACCUCUGCCCUUGAGAUGCUCGGUGUCAUCAUCAGAGUGCUCUAGAAAUCAAAGCCGCCAUCGAAGCCACCGCCGUCGUCGAACCCGGCGUCGUAGCCGGCAUCGUACGCCGACGCGUCCGACAUCAUGUCGCCGAUCAGCAGCCCCCCGACGGCGCCACCGAGCAGCCCGGCCCCGAGCCCCAUGCCGAAGUUGUUCUUCUUCUUCUGCGGCUUCACGGCCUGCUGCUGGUACCCGUACCCGGCGGCCUGCUGCGGCGGGUAGCCGUACCCGUACCCAGCCUGCGGCGGCGGGGGCGGGUAGCCGUAUCCAGCGGCCUGCUGCGGCGGGUACCCGUACCCGCCGUACUGCGGCGGAGGAGCGGCGUAGGGCGCCGCCGUGCUGGGACCGGCGGCAGGGUAGGCCGUCACCGGCUCGCCCGCCUUCGCCGGCUCGCCUGCCGCGGUCGGGUAGCCGGAUGAGGCCGGGUAAGCGGUCGCUGGCGCGUCGGCCUUGCCGCCGGUGGGCGGGUACGCGCCGCCGGGAGGUGGGUACGCGUCGGCCUUGGCUGCCGGCGGGUAUGCGGCAGGAGGUGGGUACGCGUCGGCCUUUCCUGAAGGAGGCGGGUAGGCGGCGGCGGGAGGCGCGUACGCGUCAGCCUUACCGGACGGCGGCGGGUACGCAGAGGGAGGCGGGUACGCGGCGGCCUGGGUGUAUGCGGACUGGGCGGGGGCGUAGCCGUUGGCGGCGGCCGCGGACCGAGUGACCUCGCCGAGCUUGUACGACAGGUUGAGGACUCCCUGGGGCUUGCCAGAGGAGAUCUUGCGGACCUGGUAGGCGACGAACUUGGCGGGGACGGGGCCGUCGGAGGCGCCGGAGAGGAGCUCGGAGAGCGGGAUGUGGACCUCGCCGACGUCGCGGUCGCCGAGGGCGCGCUCGGCGCGGAGGAGGACGUGGAGGGAACCCGCGCCGGUGGCCGGGACGGCGAAGCGGACCGUGGCGUUCCAGGUCGGGUUGCGGCCGCCGAUGCGGUCGGCCUGGACCCGCUGCCGUGACCGGGGGUCGCCGGAGAGCGACACCACGGCGUAGACCUCCAUCUUGGACAUCAGGUUCACGUCCUUGAGGUCCUUGGCGGAGAUCAGCGUCAGCUCCAGCGUCCGCGUCGUCGCCAUGGCCGGCGGUGAGCUCGCGAUCGUGGGUGGAUGGAUUUUUCUUUCUUGUCUGGAUCGGCGGCGGAGACGAGAAAAAGUCAAGAUGGAUUGUGUGUGUGCUG
This 1305-nucleotide long non-coding RNA is filed under the name Sorghum bicolor (sorghum). Its description in RNAcentral is "long non-coding RNA (SBIC_LNC005852)". The record is from RNAcentral. Lineage: Eukaryota; Viridiplantae; Streptophyta; Magnoliopsida; Poales; Poaceae.